This 428-nucleotide ribosomal RNA is filed under the name uncultured Ruminococcus sp. RNAcentral's name for it is "bacterial SSU rRNA". It matches the Rfam family "Bacterial small subunit ribosomal RNA", at positions 354 to 794 of the family's 1533-position model. The record is from RNAcentral. Lineage: Bacteria; Bacillati; Bacillota; Clostridia; Eubacteriales; Oscillospiraceae.
UGGGGGGAUAUUGCGGCAAUGGGGGGAAACCCUGACGCAGCAACGCCGCGUGAAGGAAGACGGUUUUCGGAUUGUAAACUUCUUUUGUUAAGGACGAAGAAAGUGACGGUACUUAACGAAUAAGCUCCGGCUAACUAUGUGCCAGCAGCCGCGGUAAUACAUAGGGAGCAAGCGUUGUCCGGAUUUACUGGGUGUAAAGGGUGCGUAGGCGGCAAGGCAAGUCAGAUGUGAAAUCUAUGGGCUCAACCCAUAAACUGCAUUUGAAACUGUAGAGCUUGAGUGAAGUAGAGGCAGGCGGAAUUCCCCGUGUAGCGGUGAAAUGCGUAGAGAUGGGGAGGAACACCAGUGGCGAAGGCGGCCUGCUGGGCUUUAACUGACGCUGAGGCACGAAAGCGUGGGUAGCAAACAGGAUUAGAUACCCUGGUAGU